GUGGAAGUUGGUGGAGAAGGAAAGAGCUAGAGAGAGCGAGAGAGCGAGAGCGAGAGAGAGAGAGAGAGAGAGAGAAGGGUUUGUACUGUUGCAGAGGUAAAAGCGAAAGGCAAAGAGAGCCGCAGUCGCCUCCUCCUCCGCCGCCGUCGCCGUCGCCGCAGCAGCAGCAGCAGCCCGUACAGCAGCAGCAGCAGCAGCCACAGCGGCAUCUUCAUGGCGCUCCACACCAAUCGAUUCUUUGACUACCUAAAUGUUGUUGAGUCUAAGCGAGCUGUCAUGAGAUAUGGCAUCCUGGUCAGGAGCUCUGCUUCUGACUAACAACGUUUGCCUUAUUUUCAUUUUUAGUUUUUUUCCUCUAGCACUGCUCCCUUAGGGCUUUUUUUUUUUGUAUUAUUGUACCCCCCCUUUUUUUCCUUUACAAGUAGUAGUAAGUAGUAAGGAUAAUUAAAAAAAAAAAAAAAAUAAUCAUAUAAAAAUCUGCCAAAAAAAAAAAAAAACAACCCCGCCGCAAAAAAACCCCCAAAAAAACAAGCCCAAAUAAACCCCCUAUAUAUAUAUAUAUAAUCAAAAACAGGGGGAAAAAGGAAAAAUUACAUCCCUUGUAAAGCUGCUAAACCCCUAAAACAACAACAACAACAACAAAACCCUACGAUCUCAUCAUCGGUAUUGAUUGGAAAAAAAAAAAAAAAAAGCAAAAUUAACCAAACACCACCACCACCAACAACAACAACAACAAAAAUAAAAGCUGAUUUCAUUCCAAGAUGUCUCAUAGUCAGAAGGAGGAGCAGUACGUCGGACCAUACCGGUUGGAGAAGACAUUAGGCAAAGGUCAAACAGGUAAGUGGAAACCAGGAGUGAUUUGAGCAAAGGAUGCUGGAAAAAAAAAA
This 887-nucleotide long non-coding RNA is filed under the name Octopus vulgaris (common octopus). Lineage: Eukaryota; Metazoa; Mollusca; Cephalopoda; Octopoda; Octopodidae. The record is from RNAcentral.